GACAUCAGCUUUACCGGUUUUUAGCCUGAUCUGGUCAGAUCUCAGACAUUAGCACGGUGGAGCCUGGUCAGUACUGGGCUGGGAUACCUCCUUUGAAACCCAGGUUGCUGCUGCUU
Molecule: ribosomal RNA, 116 nt
Filed under: Lepisosteus oculatus (spotted gar)
Lineage: Eukaryota; Metazoa; Chordata; Actinopteri; Semionotiformes; Lepisosteidae
Source: RNAcentral